UAGAGUUUUAAUUAAAUUUGUGACUCAUACAAAAAGUGGUCGUUUGGCAGCAUCUUCUCUCGAAUUUAACAUAUCAUACUCAUUAAACAAUGAAUCACUUAUAAAAAAAGUGCUUCUUCCAUCAUCAACAUUAUAUCUUUGUCUCUUAACUUUAUGAGCUUCUGUUUCUUCAUCAACAACAUGGUCUUCAAAAGAGUGCUUACCAGUUAGCUUCUGCACCACAGACUUAAAACUCAUAGCAUCAGUUUCAACAUAUUCUGUAGUUACAAUCACAAUCUUCACUGGCUUUUUACUAUUGCUGCAACCACCACUUGCCAUAUUUGAGUAUUUCACUUUAGAAGUUCUUU
RNAcentral lists this long non-coding RNA (347 nucleotides) under Medicago truncatula (barrel medic). Its description in RNAcentral is "long non-coding RNA (MTRU_LNC004066)". The record is from RNAcentral. Lineage: Eukaryota; Viridiplantae; Streptophyta; Magnoliopsida; Fabales; Fabaceae.